CCUACGGGGGGCAGCAGUGGGGAAUAUUGCGCAAUGGGCGAAAGCCUGACGCAGCGACGCCGCGUGCGGGAUGAAGGUCUUCGGAUCGUAAACCUCUGUCUGCAGGGGAGUACGUUCACUGUGGUAAUCAGCAGUGAAUUGACGGUACCUGCAAGGGAAGCACCGGCUAACUCCGUGCCAGCAGCCGCGGUAAUACGGGGGGUGCGAGCGUUAAUCGGAAUUACUGGGCGGAAAGCGCUCGUAGGCGGUAUGUUAAGUCAAGGGUGAAAUCCCCGGGCUCAACGUGGGAACUGCCUUUGAAACUGGCAAACUGGAGUUUGUGAGCGGAUAGUGGAAUUGCAGGUGU
RNAcentral lists this ribosomal RNA (346 nucleotides) under uncultured bacterium. Its description in RNAcentral is "partial 16S ribosomal RNA". It matches the Rfam family "Bacterial small subunit ribosomal RNA", at positions 338 to 676 of the family's 1533-position model. The record is from RNAcentral.